RNAcentral lists this ribosomal RNA (319 nucleotides) under uncultured Bacteroides sp. RNAcentral describes it as "bacterial SSU rRNA". It matches the Rfam family "Bacterial small subunit ribosomal RNA", at positions 28 to 339 of the family's 1533-position model. The record is from RNAcentral. Lineage: Bacteria; Pseudomonadati; Bacteroidota; Bacteroidia; Bacteroidales; Bacteroidaceae.
GAUGAACGCUAGCUACAGGCUUAACACAUGCAAGUCGAGGGGCAGCAUGAACUUAGCUUGCUAAGUUUGAUGGCGACCGGCGCACGGGUGAGUAACACGUAUCCAACCUGCCGAUGACUCGGGGAUAGCCUUUCGAAAGAAAGAUUAAUACCCGAUGGCAUAGUUCUUCCGCAUGGUAGAACUAUUAAAGAAUUUCGGUCAUCGAUGGGGAUGCGUUCCAUUAGGUUGUUGGCGGGGUAACGGCCCACCAAGCCUUCGAUGGAUAGGGGUUCUGAGAGGAAGGUCCCCCACAUUGGAACUGAGACACGGUCCAAACUCC